RNAcentral lists this ribosomal RNA (492 nucleotides) under uncultured bacterium. Its description in RNAcentral is "partial 16S ribosomal RNA". It matches the Rfam family "Bacterial small subunit ribosomal RNA", at positions 29 to 507 of the family's 1533-position model. The record is from RNAcentral.
AGUGAACGCUGGCGGUAGGCCUAACACAUGCAAGUCGAACGGCAUCACAGUAAUAGCUUGCUCUUACGGGUGUCGCGUGGCGGACGGGUGAGUAAUACUUCGGAAUCUACUUUUUCGUUUGGGAUAACGUAGGGUAAGUUACGCUAAUACCGCAUUCGACCUCCGUGUGAAAGCCGGGGUUCUUUUAACCUUUUGCGAUUGUAUGAGCCGAUGUCGGAUUAGCUAGUUGGCGGGGCAAAGGCACACCCAGGCGACGAUCCGUAGCUGGUCUGAGAGGAUGAUCAGCCAGAUGGGAACUGAGAAACGGUCCAGACUCCGACGGGAGGAAGCAGUGGGGAAUAUUGGACAAAGGGCGCAAGCCUGAUCCAGCCAUACCGCGUGGGUGAAGAAGGACUUCGGGUUGGAAAGCCCUUUUGUUGGGAAAGAAAAGCAGCAGGUUAAUACCCCGCUGUUCUGACGGUACCCAAAGAAUAAGCACCGGCUAACUUCGUG